Molecule: ribosomal RNA, 194 nt
Filed under: uncultured bacterium
Lineage: Bacteria
Description: partial 16S ribosomal RNA
Rfam family: Bacterial small subunit ribosomal RNA
Source: RNAcentral
CCUACGGGAGGCAGCAGUAGGGAAUCUUCGGCAAUGGGGGCAACCCUGACCGAGCAACGCCGCGUGAGUGAAGAAGGUUUUCGGAUCGUAAAGCUCUGUUGUAAGAGAAGAACGUGUGUGAGAGUGGAAAGUUCACACAGUGACGGUAACUUACCAGAAAGGGACGGCUAACUACGUGCCAGCAGCCGCGUAAU